Topomyia yanbarensis is the source of this 337-nucleotide long non-coding RNA. RefSeq lists it as uncharacterized. The record is from RefSeq and is a predicted model, not a curated record. The transcript is spliced from 2 exons. NCBI's taxonomy places the organism in Eukaryota, Metazoa, Arthropoda, Insecta, Diptera, Culicidae.
CAUAAAAGCAACACGAUGAAGGGUUUUUCUUAUUGUCCGAAUUGCGGUUUCCGCAUGAAGCUGAUCACGUACGAGCCGCCGAAUCGCUGGGAAAAAGGACGUGGUCAACGUCGGUACGGAUUGCUUCGAUCGAAACCGGUUUCAGCAGCACCGUCUGCUGCCUUUGCUUAUCCUCCGAAGCCAGCGCCCGGAGUUAAUUAAAUGUUAAGAUCAGGAAUCAAUAAUGUAAGACGUUAGGAGUGGAAGUAAAUGUUUUUGUUUCGUUGACAUGUGAAAAUGGGUUUUUGGAAUCUUUGCCAGCUGCCAUGCAGCGAUGAGCAAGGAUAAAAACCAGGCA